RNAcentral lists this long non-coding RNA (711 nucleotides) under Pan troglodytes (chimpanzee). Its description in RNAcentral is "long non-coding RNA NONPTRT005029". Lineage: Eukaryota; Metazoa; Chordata; Mammalia; Primates; Hominidae. The record is from RNAcentral.
GAAAAAGUGAGGAAGUACAAUGUCAGAUGAUAUCGCCUGGAAAACGACAGUGCACAGAGAGAAACAAGAUGUACGAGGUUCAUAGAAAAAAUGCGAUUAAAUAACCACACAUGGAGGUUGUAUGAAGAAGAAAUUCACAAAAGAUUCCAAUUAUACAUAUAUAGGAGGUAGCAGACACUUUCUCACUACAUACUAUUGUGGACUUCUCAAAUGGAAAAUGACAGGCAUAUAUAUUAGACAGAAUUGAGGCACCAACAUGCAAAUUGUACAGUUGUUCUGGGCAACAAUUUCUUCCUAUGAUAAUAACCCCGGAUGUGGGCUCUUGCUGUAAACGACAUCACAAGACCAUCAAGCACUUUCAAGUCCAGCCGAAGUAGAGUGAAAGAAAAUCAUUUCUGAGAGUUAUGAAAGGUCAUGAGUGAGGAAAUGCAUUCCAGGUACUCCAGAAGGUGUUUGGACACACACGGUGAAUGACACAUGAAGAUGGAGGCAGAGAUCGGAAUGAUGUGUCUACAAGCGAUGGUCCACCAAAGAUGAUCAGCAAACCACCGGAAGCUGGGAUAGAGGCCUGGAACAGAGCCUCCCUCACAUCCCUCAGAAGGAACCAACCCUGCCAACACCUUAAUCUCACACUUCUAGCCUACAGAAUUCUGAGACAACACAUUUCUGUUGUGUACACAGAGACACAUAUUAAAUAAACCUGCUACAAGA